GUUACAUUAUUAUUUUUUAAAUUAUUGUUUAAUUUUUAAAUUAAUAUUUAUUUAUUUUAAAGGAUUUUAUUUUUAAGUAGUCUCUGCACCCAAUGUGGGACUCAAACUUACAAGGUUGAGAUCAAGGGUCACACCCUCUACCAACUGAGCCAGCCAGGCUUCCUUACCUUAUUAUUAUUUUUUUUUUAAACCAAAGGGAUAGAAAAAGUGAGUGUAUCUGUAAUUCAAAAAAAAACCUUGAAACACAGAACAAUAAAGAAUUCCCAAGAGAGUAGAGGUAGAAAACCAGAAAUAUCUCUUUCAGGCAGGUGGAAACUGUCCAGUUUUUGACAAGAAUAGAAUAAAACUGUAAUCUUCAAUUACAUUUUGUAGAAGAAUAUAUAGAGAUGAUUUAUGUGAACCUGGAUAUCGUAUGGAUCAUCUUUGAUUUGACCAUCUGUUUUGAAGAGACUUCACAUAUUGAAGGAGGUAAGUUGAUGAGGAAUAUGAUAUGAUGAUGCCAUAUUCUUCAGCUCCUGUAGCAAGACUUUUGUGUUGCUUUGGGAGUGCAAAGGUAUAAGGUGUUUUUAGAUACAGAAAUAUUAUAGAUUGGGGGGCAUUUUACUGGGUUUGGAGAUGGCAAAAUAGAAAGUUUGGAACUCAGAAUCAUCUCUCUGAGUGCCUGAGUCUUUUAGUAGCUAUAAUCAGAAAACUUUCUUUCAGUUUGGUUUGAGAGAAGUCAGAUAGGCUGAGUAGAAGUUUCCUCUGAUGUUGGUUUCUUAAUAAAAAUUUGGCUUCUUGAGACA
This 785-nucleotide long non-coding RNA is filed under the name Felis catus (domestic cat). RNAcentral's name for it is "lncRNA (ENSFCAG00000050819.1)". The record is from RNAcentral. Lineage: Eukaryota; Metazoa; Chordata; Mammalia; Carnivora; Felidae.